GCGGUACAGCCGCGGGCCCUGACCUUGGUCGCUACGGAACCGAAGGUCGGGAGUUCGAAUCUCUCCGGGCGCG
This 73-nucleotide transfer RNA is filed under the name Actinomycetota bacterium. RNAcentral describes it as "tRNA-Pro". The record is from RNAcentral. Lineage: Bacteria; Bacillati; Actinomycetota.